GUUGCCAUGUUUUUUCCAGUUCAAAAGACAACAUUUCGUUUCAGGAGGAAAAAACAAAGUAAGUCUCUGCAGUGACGUAUAGAUAGAAAUAGAUGCAUGCAUGUGUGUAUCAAUACAGAUAAUAGCUGCUCUUUUCAAAAGGAAAUAAGACACAGAACUUCGUUAGGUGCAAUGAAGGGCGGUCUAAGGUUUAAUAACAGCAGGUAACAGCAGGUAGCAAAAACUUUACGCUCGACUAUGGACAAGCUAAUAAUUUCCUCUGGAUGGCCAUGUAAUUAAUCCCUGAGAGAGGUGGUGUAGCUGUGUUAAUGGCUGAUCAUUUGAAUGCACACCGCGAGGCAUUCGGGACAGACGGACGGAGCAGACUUCCCUCUGGCUCAAAAUCAGAUGCGAUUCUGGCUGCGUUCCAAAU
Sebastes umbrosus (honeycomb rockfish) is the source of this 412-nucleotide long non-coding RNA. RefSeq lists it as uncharacterized. Lineage: Eukaryota; Metazoa; Chordata; Actinopteri; Perciformes; Sebastidae. The transcript has 2 exons. The record is from RefSeq and is a predicted model, not a curated record.